GUCCGGCGUCGUUAACUUUUACAAAAAUCUUCUCCUCUGAAACUACCAGGCCAAAUUUUACCAAACUUGGCCACAAUCAUCAUUGGGGUAUCUAGUUAAAAAAAUGUGUCCGGUGACCCGGUCAACCAACCAAGAUGGCCGCCAUGGCUAAAAAUAGAACAUAGGGGUAAAAUGCGGUUUUUGGCUUAUAACUCAAAAACCAAAGCAUUUAGAGCAAAUCUGACAAGGUUAAAUUGUUCAUCAGGUCAAGAUCUAUCUGCCCUUAAAUUUUCAGAUGAAUCGGACAACCCAUUGUUGGGUUGCUACCCCUAAAUUGGUAAUUUUUAAGGAAAUUUUGCGGUUUUUGGUUAUUAUCUUGAAUACUAUUAUAGAUAGAGAUAACCUGUAAACAGCAAUAAUGUUCAGAAAAGUAAGAUCUACAAAUAAGUCAACAUGACUGAACUGGUCAAUUGACCCCCUAAGGAGUUAUUGUCCUUUAUAGUAAAUUUUUAACAAUUUUCAUAAAAUUUGUAAAUUUUUACUAAUAUUUUCCACUGAAACUACUGGGCCAAGUUCAUUAUAGAUAGAGAUAAUUGUAAGCAGCAAGAAUGUUCAGUAAAGUAAGAUGUACAAACACAUCACCAUCACCAAAACACAAUUUUGUCAUGAAUCUAUCUGCUUCUUUUGUUAAAUAUUCACAUAUACCAAGGUGAGCGACACAGGAUCUUUAGAGCCUCUAGUUAU
RNAcentral lists this long non-coding RNA (723 nucleotides) under Mytilus galloprovincialis (Mediterranean mussel). The record is from RNAcentral. Lineage: Eukaryota; Metazoa; Mollusca; Bivalvia; Mytilida; Mytilidae.